AUUGAACGCUGGCGGCAGGCCUAACACAUGCAAGUCGAGCGAGCGGCGGACGGGUGAGUAAUGUAUGGGGACUGCCCGAUAGAGGGGGAUAACUACUGGAAACGGUAGCUAAUACCGCAUACUAUCGGAUAACCCAUAUGGGAUUAGCUAGUAGGUGAGGUAAUGGCUCACCUAGGCGACGAUCCCUAGCUGGUCUGAGAGGAUGAUCAGCCACACGGGGACUGAGACACGGCCCAGACUCCUAGGGAGGCAGAGGUGGGGAAUAUUGCACAAGGGGGGCAAGCCUGAGCCAGCAAUGCGGCGUGUAGGAAGAAGGCCUUAGGGUUGUAAAGUAUUUUCAGUCGGGAGGCGUUACCGAAAGAAGAAGCACCGGCUAACUCCGUGCCAGCAGCCGCGGUAAUAC
RNAcentral lists this ribosomal RNA (403 nucleotides) under uncultured bacterium. RNAcentral describes it as "partial 16S ribosomal RNA". It matches the Rfam family "Bacterial small subunit ribosomal RNA", at positions 29 to 526 of the family's 1533-position model. The record is from RNAcentral.